RNAcentral lists this ribosomal RNA (32 nucleotides) under Platanus x hispanica. RNAcentral's name for it is "partial 18S ribosomal RNA". Lineage: Eukaryota; Viridiplantae; Streptophyta; Magnoliopsida; Proteales; Platanaceae. The record is from RNAcentral.
UUUCCAUAGGUGAACCUGCGGAAGGGUCAUUG